GAUGAACGCUAGCUACAGGCUUAACACAUGCAAGUCGAGGGGAAACGAUAUUGGAAGCUUGCUUCCGAUAGGCGUCGACCGGCGCACGGGUGCGUAACGCGUAUCGAACCUACCCUUUACUCGGGAACAGCCUUGCGAAAGCAAGAUUAAUGCCCGAUGUUCCGCGUUUGCCGCAUGGCAAAUUCGGCAAAGAUUUAUUGGUAAAGGAUGGCGAUGCGUCCCAUUAGUUAGUUGGCGGGGUAACGGCCCACCAAGACGACGAUGGGUAGGGGUUCUGAGAGGAAGGUCCCCCACAUUGGAACUGAGACACGGUCCAAACUCCUACGGGAGGCAGCAGUGAGGAAUAUUGGUCAAUGGGCGGAAGCCUGAACCAGCCAAGUAGCGUGCAGGAAGACGGCCCUAUGGGUUGUAAACUGCUUUCAGUCGGGAAUAACUCGUCGGUCGUGACCGACGUUGCAGGUACCGUCAUAAGAAGGACCGGCUAAUUCCGUG
This 492-nucleotide ribosomal RNA is filed under the name uncultured bacterium. Its description in RNAcentral is "bacterial SSU rRNA". It matches the Rfam family "Bacterial small subunit ribosomal RNA", at positions 28 to 507 of the family's 1533-position model. The record is from RNAcentral.